Molecule: long non-coding RNA, 768 nt
Filed under: Cavia porcellus (domestic guinea pig)
Lineage: Eukaryota; Metazoa; Chordata; Mammalia; Rodentia; Caviidae
Description: lncRNA (ENSCPOG00000039519.1)
Source: RNAcentral
AGCUCGUAGGGCAGCCUUGAGCUUAGCAGACCGCAGGAGUUGUGCGGCUGGCUCGUUGUCACUAUUUAUUGGUCUUACGGCAUUGCAAAAGCGUAUUCAGCGAGGUGCUCCAGAGGGAGCUCGGAGGGCUGCAGCUGGGGAGCCUGCUUGUCCUCCGGCUUUCCCUUCCUGCCUCGGCUCAGGGCUGCAGAGUUGGAGCUAACUUUGUCGUUCCUUUGAUAAGAGCUCUGGUUUCCCGUGUCAAACCGGCUCCAAGAGAAGUCUUGGGAUCUAAACUGGGCUGUCACAUUUAUGGAAAUCCUGUGAUCCCACGGAGUCCAUUUGGGACUCUGCAUGGGUGUCCAUUCAUGGGAGAGAGGAGACCCGUAUCAAUACUCACUUGAAACCACUCAACGCCUGGCGGCCUCUCGCACUGCAGAACUGACUGAUAUUGAUUCGGAUUGAGGCAUCUGCUGCAUUUUAGCAAGCGCCCUAUUUAAUCUCCGUGUCCUGUGCCGCUGUCUCGUCCUUGUCCCUUUUCAAAGUCACAGUGAUUUGGAACCCACUUAGGGCUUUUAGUUUGAUGGGCCGGCGCUCUGCAGCGCGCUGACCUCUAGACCGACCAGAGUUUCCCCCUUUUCUUUCUGCAAUUAUUUUUUCCUCCACAAUUUCCUUUUUGAAUAUUUAAACACGUAAAAAUGUAAGGUAACCAAAACAAACUACCAAAAGUAAAAAAUAAAAAAUAAAGCGUUGCAAGUUUUUUUGUAUACAACGCCCUUACAGAAUGAG